UUCAAACUGGUGAAUGAAUGAAUAUUAAAAAACCAAGCUGAGGCACAGUGUGCUCUUAAAUAAAAUUGCUCUGGCAGUGAAUGUCAUUGAACAUUUAAGCAGGAUGACUCAUCACACUCUUCCCUUACUUUCUCCUAUCGGAGGAAGUUCUCCACGAACUUCUCCAAUAUGAGCCUUUCCUGUGGGCUGCAGUUCUUCGUGAGCAUGUAGCAGAGAACAGUGAAAAGACAUGGUUGGAUAUCAUAGAAUCAUUAAGGUUGGAAAAGAUCUCCAAGACAUCGUGGUGCUUGUAUAUUAUACAUUUUUGUGACUUCCAGGCUAUUACUUUGAGCAGUUUGUGUUAUGCUGACAAGAUGACUCUUAUUUAGUUUUGUUACUUGGCUCCCCUUUCUCUUGUAAUGGAGAGUUAACUUCAGGAAAUAGUCAUGGAAAUCAUAUAAAUGUUGGUUGAAAGGGAUCUCAGAAGAUCGCAUACUGUAAUCUUCCUCUUAAUGAGGAAUAACACUCUAUCUGGUCUUUCUUGGUUUUGUCUGGUGCAAUUUUUUCAAAACUUCAAGGAAUGAGAUCACAUAAUCUCUCUGGGGAAUUUCAGACGUGAAAUUGUUUUUCAUCCAGUCUGAACCUUCCAAACUACAGUUCAUGGCACAUUCUGGUGUGAAUUACAAUCUUGUUUGACAUAACUUUUUGGCUUCCCUUUGUAUUUCUUUUGCCAGCUUUAUAGAAUUCAUGAAAUAGCUUUAGUGAAGCUUUCAUUUAAAAAUGAACAGAACACUCUAUGGAGUAGAAUUACUAGAUCCAUUAUGGUUUAGCUUUUUAUUGCCUAGGAAUAAAACAAAAGUCAAGGUUUGCUUUUAUUCAUGCCACAUUAUAGCUCAUUGUUCACCAUAAAUUGACAGGUUAAAAUUUUUUUUUAAAAAGAAAGAAUUUUUAUAAUUAUUUCCAGAGAAAAAGUAAUACUGAAUAAGAGUUAGGUAUAAAUUUAAUUUGAGGUUAUAGCCAUAAAAAUAUGCCAGUCUUUUCAAUAUCUGCUUUCACUGUUCUUUGAAAUUGGCCAAUUUUUAUAUCUUCUCCACAAACAAUAAAACCUUGUUAUUAUAUGCAGUUGAGAAGGAAGUUUUAUGUAAUAUAUAUUCCCACAUCAGCUUGAUUAUCAGUGCUUCAAGCAACUGGGUUCAAUUUACACACAUACUACUUUGGGGUGGGUUGUAGAAUUAUUUCAGUAUAGAGACUUUCUGAUGAGGUAGAAAAUUUGUCAAAAAGUCAUUACGGAAAUAGAUGUAUAACUGCUGUAGAAUAAAUAUGGCAGAUGACACAAAGAAAACUUAUUUAAAUAAGAGCAUGGAAUAGAUUUUUUUUUUAAGUGAUUUUUUGCUUUGGUUUGGGUUUUUUUGUUAAAUUAUAUAAAAGCAGUAACUUCUGUGGAGCUAUGAACAUGCUAGGCAUCGUGCAGUCUGUAAUUCAAGGUUUUGCUUUUGAAGCGUCCGAGUAUCUCUAAGGACCCUAGGGCCUACAUAGUUUACACAGAGAAGUAACUUUGUUCACAGUCACAAUCCUGGUAAAGCAGUCUAAUUGUGUGCUAGAUAUCCAAUUUUACCACGCAAAAAGAGCACAUAUCUAAACACAUUGUGAUUUAGCAAUAAAGUUUAGCAUCUUCUCAAGUUACCAUCACUUUGCAUCCAUGUGUAUUAGUGCAGCAAUGACUUUCAAAAACAUAGAGAAAAAUUGUGCAAAACAAAAUAACCAACCAGAAUAAAUGAUUCAGGGAUUUUUGAGCCAGAUUGACCAUAAAGAAUAUUAUAGCUUCUAGUCAUCAAUUAAUAAAUUCUUAUUUCUUUUAAAUCCUUUUUUGAAUUAAUUAUGGAAUAAUAUUCUAUAGUAAUAAAUUUUCAGUGUAAACUUCAUGUAGUAUGCAGAAAUUAUUCCUUUGGGAUUUUUUUUAGCCUAUAAUUUGCACAAUAAAUGUACUGUGUGACUUUGGUAUAUAAGUCAUGGGAAAUAAUCCAUUCUCUUUUUUUUUCCCUUCUAUUUGGAGCUUUAUAGAGUUUGCCAAACAUACUUCUCUUUCUUUUCUCCUUUCCAAGGUGAAAAAUUCUAUUCUUUCCCCAUGCAGAAGAUGUUCCAGGCUUGUGUUGUCUAUUGUUGCAACCCUCUUCUGACAGAAAUGGGGUCAAAGAUAAGAGGAGUCAGCAGAAGUGAUCGGGUACUAAUAAAAUUUUUUUAAAUGCUGAGUAGUUUGACAUUCUUGGAGAGACAAGAAAGAGGAACUAAAGACAAGGAUAUUGAAGUACUUUUGCUAGAGUUACUAAGAAGACAUAAAGGCAAAAGAGAGAUGACUUUGGAAUGAAGAGCUGUCAUUGCCUAAGAGAAACGACGUGCAAUAAACUGCACAAUCAGUAUUACUGUUGUAAUUAACUACAGUUGAAUACAGAUAGUGUAUAUGACUGUUACAACCAAAUAGACAUUGAAGUGUGCAGUGUUCAGCUGUAAAUAUUGCUCUGGGUGUCGAGAUACAGCAAGAAAUAAAAGGAAUAGUAAUGUUGGAUAGACUGUGUUGAAUUUGAAAGGUUUCUUCAAUUCUUCUAUUCCUCCUUUUUGUAGACACUACUCAGUAUUUCUAAUGAAUUUUCAUCAAGUUUUUAUGUCAUUCCCUGGAGAAAUAAAACUGCUUGGAAUGUAAUCUGUCAAAAGUUUUUCCCUUUUGUAGUAACAGUGGAUCCUUGCUUUAAGGAGUAAAUUUAAAAGUAAAUAUUUUCAUUACCAAAGGAGUUUCAGUUAUUAAGCAAGUUAUUUAUUGUACAUGAGAUAAAUCUAAACCUUUAUUAUAGGAAUUAGCAGUUAUGAUUAACCUGGUUUUUUCAUUAUUACUAUUAAACUUACUAAACUGUUAAACAUUGAUGCUGAAUAAACACAUGCAGCUAAGUAAAAAUGGAAUGUCAUUUCAGUUUCCUAAUUUGAAUUCCUAAGGCAAAGUUUAAUGGGACAGCUGCGUAGGUGGAUACGAGAUAUUGAUUGAAAAGGAAAAAGACAAAUCCUUUUGGUAGCAUUAAAAUUACACCUAUUAUGAAAGAGAUUUCCUAUCCUACAGAGGGAAUUUAAAUUAAGUGUAUUAAGUGCCUCUGUGGUGUGAGGAAACUUUUCCAGAGGAUGACUGUAAAGAGAUGACUUUCUGUAUGUCAGAGUCACUGACCAUAAGAAUCUGAAACUUUGAGUCAAAAGUCAGUAGAACAAUACUUAGCUCUUGAUAGUAAGAUUCUGUCAGUUGUGCAUCAAUGUGCACAACUAGUUGUGAUCUUCCCCAGAGAUCAUGGUAGAGUGAGUGGGGAUGGUAACUAAAGCAGUGAGACAGGGUUAUUGUAUUCUGGAUCUUAAGGAUAAGAAAAAAAGAAAGAAGACUACGGUGGAUAAAGGUAGGACUAAAAGUAUAACAUUAAAGCAUAUUUAAGCAUGCUUCCUAAUUAAAUAUGGAAAUCAGCAUCCAAAGCAGCAGAACAUACUGCACAUUUUCUAUUAUUUUACUUGUGUUAUCUACCAGUACUGCCUGUUAACCUUGUAACUUAUUCUGAUUCUUCUGGAAGCUGUCUGAUUCCUCCUAAAUGUAAUGAAGUGUAAGGAGGUAAUAACUAGAAAAAUCAAGACAGUUUUACAUUACCUAAGUCUCCUACUGCUUGACCUUAAAACAAUUCAUAAUAUGGCCCUUAGAAAAGACAUUAAAGGGUCUUAAAUGUGAGAGAGAUAUGCAGAGACCUUAAAUUUACAGCUGGGCAUUUGUUAACACAACAU
Long non-coding RNA from Corvus hawaiiensis (hawaiian crow), 3780 nucleotides. RefSeq lists it as uncharacterized. The record is from RefSeq and is a predicted model, not a curated record. The transcript has 2 exons. Lineage: Eukaryota; Metazoa; Chordata; Aves; Passeriformes; Corvidae.